UUAAGCGACUAAGCGUACACGGUGGAUGCCCUGGCAGUCAGAGGCGAUGAAGGACGUGCUAAUCUGCGAAAAGCGUCGGUAAGGUGAUAUGAACCGUUACAGCCGGCGAUGUCCGAAUGGGGAAACCCAGUGCAAUUCGUUGCACUAUCGUUAACUGAAUACAUAGGUUAACGAGGCGAACCGGGGGAACUGAAACAUCUAAGUACCCCGAGGAAAAGAAAUCAACCGAGAUUCCCCCAGUAGCGGCGAGCGAACGGGGAGCAGCCCAGAGUCUGAAUCAGCUUGUGUGUUAGUGGAACGGUCUGGAAAGUCCGACGGUACAGGGUGAUAGUCCCGUACACCAAAAUGCACAGGCUGUGAACUCGAAGAGUAGGGCGGGACACGUGGUAUCCUGUCUGAAUAUGGGGGGACCAUCCUCCAAGGCUAAAUACUCCUGACUGACCGAUAGUGAACCAGUACCGUGAGGGAAAGGCGAAAAGAACCCCGGCGAGGGGAGUGAAAAAGAACCUGAAACCGUGUACGUACAAGCAGUGGGAGCACCUUCGGGUGUGACUGCGUACCUUUUGUAUAAUGGGUCAGCGACUUAUAUUCUGUAGCAAGGUUAACCGUAUAGGGGAGCCGCAGGGAAACCGAGUCUUAACUGGGCGUUAAGUUGCAGGGUAUAGACCCGAAACCCGGUGAUCUAGCCAUGGGCAGGUUGAAGGUUGGGUAACACUAACUGGAGGACCGAACCGACUAAUGUUGAAAAAUUAGCGGAUGACUUGUGGCUGGGGGUGAAAGGCCAAUCAAACCGGGAGAUAGCUGGUUCUCCCCGAAAGCUAUUUAGGUAGCGCCUCGUGAAUUCAUCUUCGGGGGUAGAGCACUGUUUCGGCUAGGGGGUCAUCCCGACUUACCAACCCGAUGCAAACUACGAAUACCGAAGAAUGUUAUCACGGGAGACACACGGCGGGUGCUAACGUCCGUCGUGAAGAGGGAAACAACCCAGACCGCCAGCUAAGGUCCCAAAGUCAUGGUUAAGUGGGAAACGAUGUGGGAAGGCACAGACAGCCAGGAUGUUGGCUUAGAAGCAGCCAUCAUUUAAAGAAAGCGUAAUAGCUCACUGGUCGAGUCGGCCUGCGCGGAAGAUGUAACGGGGCUAAACCAUGCACCGAAGCUGCGGCAGCGACACUAUGUGUUGUUGGGUAGGGGAGCGUUCUGUAAGCCUGCGAAGGUGACCUGUGAGGGUUGCUGGAGGUAUCAGAAGUGCGAAUGCUGACAUAAGUAACGAUAAAGCGGGUGAAAAGCCCGCUCGCCGGAAGACCAAGGGUUCCUGUCCAACGUUAAUCGGGGCAGGGUGAGUCGACCCCUAAGGCGAGGCCGAAAGGCGUAGUCGAUGGGAAACAGGUUAAUAUUCCUGUACUUGGUGUUACUGCGAAGGGGGGACGGAGAAGGCUAUGUUAGCCGGGCGACGGUUGUCCCGGUUUAAGCAUGUAGGCUGGUUAUCCAGGCAAAUCCGGAUAAUCAAGGCUGAGGUGUGAUGACGAGGCACUACGGUGCUGAAGUAACAAAUGCCCUGCUUCCAGGAAAAGCCUCUAAGCAUCAGGUAACAUCAAAUCGUACCCCAAACCGACACAGGUGGUCAGGUAGAGAAUACCAAGGCGCUUGAGAGAACUCGGGUGAAGGAACUAGGCAAAAUGGUGCCGUAACUUCGGGAGAAGGCACGCUGGUGUGUAGGUGAAGUCCCUGCGGAUGGAGCUGAGGCCAGUCGAAGAUACCAGCUGGCUGCAACUGUUUAUUAAAAACACAGCACUGUGCAAACACGAAAGUGGACGUAUACGGUGUGACGCCUGCCCGGUGCCGGAAGGUUAAUUGAUGGGGUUAUCCGUAAGGAGAAGCUCUUGAUCGAAGCCCCGGUAAACGGCGGCCGUAACUAUAACGGUCCUAAGGUAGCGAAAUUCCUUGUCGGGUAAGUUCCGACCUGCACGAAUGGCGUAAUGAUGGCCAGGCUGUCUCCACCCGAGACUCAGUGAAAUUGAACUCGCUGUGAAGAUGCAGUGUACCCGCGGCAAGACGGAAAGACCCCGUGAACCUUUACUAUAGCUUGACACUGAACAUUGAGCCUUGAUGUGUAGGAUAGGUGGGAGGCUUUGAAGCGUGGACGCCAGUCUGCGUGGAGCCAACCUUGAAAUACCACCCUUUAAUGUUUGAUGUUCUAACGUUGGCCCCUUACCGGGGUUGCGGACAGUGUCUGGUGGGUAGUUUGACUGGGGCGGUCUCCUCCCAAAGCGUAACGGAGGAGCACGAAGGUUAGCUAAUCCUGGUCGGACAUCAGGAGGUUAGUGCAAUGGCAUAAGCUAGCUUGACUGCGAGCGUGACGGCGCGAGCAGGUGCGAAAGCAGGUCAUAGUGAUCCGGUGGUUCUGAAUGGAAGGGCCAUCGCUCAACGGAUAAAAGGUACUCCGGGGAUAACAGGCUGAUACCGCCCAAGAGUUCAUAUCGACGGCGGUGUUUGGCACCUCGAUGUCGGCUCAUCACAUCCUGGGGCUGAAGUAGGUCCCAAGGGUAUGGCUGUUCGCCAUUUAAAGUGGUACGCGAGCUGGGUUUAGAACGUCGUGAGACAGUUCGGUCCCUAUCUGCCGUGGGCGCUGGAGAAUUGAGGGGGGCUGCUCCUAGUACGAGAGGACCGGAGUGGACGCAUCACUGGUGUUCGGGUUGUCAUGCCAAUGGCACUGCCCGGUAGCUAAAUGCGGAAGAGAUAAGUGCUGAAAGCAUCUAAGCACGAAACUUGCCCCGAGAUGAGUUCUCCCUGAGACUUUAAGUCUCCUGAAGGAACGUUAAAGACGAUGACGUUGAUAGGCCGGGUGUGUAAGCGCAGCGAUGCGUUGAGCUAACCGGUACUAAUGAACCGUGAGGCUUAACCUU
Molecule: ribosomal RNA, 2900 nt
Filed under: Klebsiella pneumoniae UCI 20
Lineage: Bacteria; Pseudomonadati; Pseudomonadota; Gammaproteobacteria; Enterobacterales; Enterobacteriaceae
Description: bacterial LSU rRNA
Rfam family: Bacterial large subunit ribosomal RNA
Source: RNAcentral